UACGUAGGUGGCAAGCGUUGUCCGGAUUUACUAGGCGUAAAGAGCGCGCAGGCGGUUGAUUAAGUCGAAUGUGAAAGCCCCCGGCUCAACUGGGGAGGGUCAUUCGAUACUGAUCGACUUGAAGGCAGGAGAGGGAAGUGGAAUUCCGGGUGUAGUGGUGAAAUGCGUAGAUAUCCGGAGGAACACCAGUGGCGAAGGCGACUUCCUGGCCUGUUCUUGACGCUGAGGCGCGAAAGCUGGGGGAGCAAACGGG
RNAcentral lists this ribosomal RNA (253 nucleotides) under uncultured bacterium. RNAcentral's name for it is "partial 16S ribosomal RNA". It matches the Rfam family "Bacterial small subunit ribosomal RNA", at positions 524 to 776 of the family's 1533-position model. The record is from RNAcentral.